GACUACAAGUUUCUCAAGUCGCAGUUCCCAACGAUUGAUCCUUGAGGGCAAGGAUCGUCUUCUAGGGGGGAGGGGUUGUAAUGGUGGUAAGAGAAAGGCGAACCAGGGAAAAGGAAGAGUGAGGAGAUGGAGGUAAAGAGGGUGAAUACGCAAACCGAGGUAGUUAGAUAUUAUUGAGUCAAGCAGGUGAAGGUUAGGUGAUGGAGAAGCGGGCUACCGGCUACCGGGUUCAGGUUGCUAAACCGGACCCUUCUCAGGGAUCCAGCAGAGUCAGCCAACAGAACCUGGGUGGUAAUAGUUGAGGAGUCCGGCCCACAAGCAGGUCUCGUAGCAGGAACCGCGGCCCAGGGAGACCACUUAUAAAUAAUUCUCUUUUUACACUCUUAUCCUUCACUAUUGCAAUUUUCAUAUUUUUGUCCUGAUGUAGUAGGGAUAUAAAUAGAAACAAUUACCUGUAAGUGAACAGUAAGAUUGAUAAUAUAAUUCUAUUUCCCAUCUACUCCUUCUUCCACUUCCUCCUCUCUACUACCUUCUUCUUCCUCCUCCCUGCCUAUCCUUCUCCUUCUUUAUCCCUCUAUUCCUCUGUUCUCAAUUCUCCUACUCCUUACUAUCUCGCGUCCCUGAGUGAUCCCCUCUAAUCCUCUUCAUCGGACCAUCAUAUCCAAUCGAAAUUGGAUCAGGCUUCACGCAAGGGUCUCAUCAUUCCUGAGGUAGCUUUAUCACAGUGAAGGGGUCACCGGAUUGCUACUCCAGGUCAGAAGAGGGGUGUCACAUACCAGAUUUUGGUAUAAAAAUAAAAAUAAAUAAAAAUAGUGUGAGAUGCUAUUUUUAUUAGAAUUAGAGAAGUAAAACAUAAGUCAGGAAUGACUUGUGCUGAAAUCGGAUUGGAAACAGAAGAUUUAGAAUUUUCUGUUGGAAACGGGACAGAUAAGUUAGCGAAAAAUGCACAGUCUCAGAAAAUUAUGAAAAUAGGAGGAUAAGUCAGAAAUAUUUUUAUGAGGCUAGAUUUAAAGUUUCAUAUUUUUCUGACAUCCGGAAGGUGAAAAAUAAAAUCCGACAAGUUAUCUGCUAAAAAUUACAAUUCAGCACAGUUUUCGGUGACCAAACGGGGUUGAAACUGAAAACUUAAGAUAUAUUC
Molecule: long non-coding RNA, 1138 nt
Filed under: Ananas comosus (pineapple)
Lineage: Eukaryota; Viridiplantae; Streptophyta; Magnoliopsida; Poales; Bromeliaceae
Description: long non-coding RNA (ACOM_LNC034928)
Source: RNAcentral